Molecule: ribosomal RNA, 327 nt
Filed under: uncultured bacterium
Lineage: Bacteria
Description: bacterial SSU rRNA
Rfam family: Bacterial small subunit ribosomal RNA
Source: RNAcentral
GACGAACGCUGGCGGCGCGCCUAACACAUGCAAGUCGAACGGACUUUAUGGAAACUGAGGCUUCGGCGGACGAAGAAAUAAAGUUAGUGGCGAACGGGUGAGUAACACGUGAGGAACCUACCUCUCAGAGGGGGAUAACACUUAGAAAUAGGUGCUAAUACCGCAUAAGACCACGACCGGGCAUCCGGAUGGGGUCAAAGGAGCAAUCCGCUGAAAGAUGGUCUCGCGUCCCAUUAGUUAGUUGGUGAGGUAACGGCUCACCAAGACUUCGAUGGGUAGCCGGCCUGAGAGGGUGAACGGCCACACUGGAACUGAGACACGGUCCAG